AAAUAUAAAAUAAGUUAUUUAAUUAAAUUAAAAAAACCAAAAACUAAAUAUAAAUAAUAUAUAAACCCAUCAAAACAUUUCUCCUCCUUCUUCGGCGAGACUAGCUCCCGGCCACCGUCGCUACCGUCGAACACACUGUUGUCAUCUCCACCACAGCUCCCCUCACCACUUUUCCCACUACCAGUGGAAGUCACAAAGCAAAAAAGCAACUUGCAAGUAACAUCGGUCAAAGAGGAUUGGGAAAUUAUUGGGGAAAACCUAGGAGACCAAGAACAAGACAAUAUAGCUGAGAAAAAUCCUUUGGUGGGUUCAUCUAUCUCUCGUGUUAGAGGUGAUAAAUCCUUGCAGGAAGAGACCCAUGCUACUAUUACUGUUCAACCCCAACACAAUGUAAGAAGAAGCAUGUCGAGUUAAAGGGCAUGUCUAUCUCAGACUCGGGUAGAUCUAGUGAGUCAGGGCUUAAGGAAAGCAGAUCUAACCCCUUUGGAAGCAGAAUUGGAGGUAGAUAAGCUAGAGGUUCUGGAACAAAUCAAGGCAGUAGUGACUAUUACCAACAAAUCGACCCAAUAUUUGGCCCUCUCUCAUCCUCUUCCUUUUCAUCGCUCACUUGUGGAACUCGACAAUGCAUGUCCUUUGACGUGUCUGAAUGCCAUAACAAUGCGUGUCUCGACGAGGACUCUUUGUCGGAGCUGCCAGUUUAAUCGGCUUAAGCGACGGUGCAUUAUCUUUCCCUUCUCAAUUUUGAGAAUUUUUUGAUUUUUCUGUGGAGGGUGAUUCCACUAGUAGUGGGGGAAGUGGUGAGGGGAGUUGUGGUGGAGAUGAUAACAGUGUGAUCGACGGUGGCGGCGAUGGCUAGGUGGUAGUCUCGCCGGAGAAGAAGGAGGAGAAAUGUUUUCAUGGGUUUAUAUAUUAUUUAUAUUUAGUUUUUGGUUUUUUAAUUUAAUUAAAUAACUUAUUUUAUAUUUAAUAUGAAAAAAAGCAAAGUACCAUUUUGACCCUUCUAUUUUGGUCAAAAUUGAUUAGUUUUUCCAAUUUUUGAUCAACUAACGGUGCAAUGGAUGAUUUUCGUCCAAAUGAAUUUCAGCUGCACAUUAAUAAAGGUUGGGGACCUUCAUUGGCACAAAAUGAAGGUUUGGGUAAAGUCUUCAAAAAUUGAAAAGGUUAGGGAUCGUUGCUGCAAUUUUUCCUAAAUUUUAUCUGGGUCAAAUAUUUAAUUAGUGAUGGAGUAAUGAAAAAUAUAUCAAUAUUGGGCUCGUUGGAUAGCUCGUAAUUAAUUGCGUAUGAUGGACUCGAG
RNAcentral lists this long non-coding RNA (1294 nucleotides) under Olea europaea subsp. europaea. The record is from RNAcentral. Lineage: Eukaryota; Viridiplantae; Streptophyta; Magnoliopsida; Lamiales; Oleaceae.